UUUGGUAAAUUUUUGCUUUAUAGAGCUGCUAGAAACACUUUCUAAAUCACGACUCACAUGUUGCUGGAACUGAUUUUAAGUCUAUAUAUACUAAAAGCAAGUAAAAGUGCCAGAUUGGGGAGUGCCCGACUAGAAGAUAUCCUCUCAAAUUUAUGCAGCAGUUGUGCCUCUCCUUCUCAUCCAAGAAAUGCUACCCUGAAUAUCUUCGGUGCUUAUAGUCCGAUCUUUAUGCAUACGUGACUAACAACCUAAAGAUUGACUUAGAGGUAUUCAUUAUUCGUUACUUAUUUUACAAUCCCCCAACUGUCCCUCUGUUGUUUGCGAAUGAAAGUUUUUAGUUGCUUUUACGAAAAGUAUGCAGAAUUUUAAGAAAAUAAUUGCCGAAUAGUGGAGCAGCAAAGGCAGGACUUGCUGCAAGGACAUAUGAGAUGCUUGUUAUUUGCUGUGGCCAAAGCUUGCCCAAGGGAAUUUGCACAAAUUUUUGCCUGGCUUUGAUGCAAUUAAUUCGAGUUAAGAAUGCAAACUGCCGUCUGCCGCCAGCUGCUGCUACUACAGAGCGGGUGGGGCAUAAGUGGGCCGGGGGCGGGUGUUGCCACUAGCAAGGUCUGCGAGCAGAGAAAAUCGCAAGCAGCUUUAGCAGACUUGGAGGCGCCACUUGAGUGCCGCUGCCGCUGCCGCUGCGUCGUGGCAAACGUUUGCCUUGGCUGCUUCCGUUUUUUUUUUUCGUGCGCUGCUGUGUGGCAUGGAGUGGCAACAAGUGCCACUUGCACUUUGACUGAUGUGCAGCGCACGCUCCGCCAUCCCCCGACCCAUUGCUCACAAUCACCCAAAACCACGCCCAGCUGCAGCAGCAGCAGCAAAGUAUCUCAGCCAGCUAAAAAGUGCGCAAAAUGAAGUGGCAGCUGCUGUCUGAAAGGUGCUUCAGCUUGAAGCACACGCUCCAAGAUGUAGAAGAAGAAGACGAAGAAGAAGAAGCAGCAGCAGAAGCUGCAACACGCAACGCGCAACGCGCUCAUAUUUAGCGGCUUUUAGACGGGCUUUUCCAGUGAAUGCCAAACGUGGCUUUCGCACUGUUUUGCCAACUCAAUGGCCCUCGUCUCGGCUGCCGCCAGUUAGCCUGUUUAGCUAGAAAUUCAAUUCACCUGCACUUUUUGUCAUGUCAACGAAAGAGUUGUUCACUUUCUACGGCGUAUUAUAAUUUUGUCGCGGAAUGUGAAGCACCCCGAAGGAGAUACCAUUAAGAGUUUGUCUUGACUGAGACAUCAGACUGAUUAGAAGCUAACAAUCGCAAGGUCGCUGGUUCAAAUCUAUUGGAAAUUUGUAAAACACUUGAAAGGAGAUGACAUAAAUGCAUAUUUAUAUUAAAGAGUUCGUCUUGACUGACAUUUGACUAACA
Non-coding RNA from Drosophila virilis, 1396 nucleotides. The record is from RefSeq and is a predicted model, not a curated record. Lineage: Eukaryota; Metazoa; Arthropoda; Insecta; Diptera; Drosophilidae.